RNAcentral lists this ribosomal RNA (513 nucleotides) under uncultured bacterium. Its description in RNAcentral is "bacterial SSU rRNA". It matches the Rfam family "Bacterial small subunit ribosomal RNA", at positions 996 to 1509 of the family's 1533-position model. The record is from RNAcentral.
CUUAGCAGAGAUGCUUUGGUGCCUUCGGGAACUCUGAGACAGGUGCUGCAUGGCUGUCGUCAGCUCGUGUUGUGAAAUGUUGGGUUAAGUCCCGCAACGAGCGCAACCCUUAUCCUUUGUUGCCAGCGGUCCGGCCGGGAACUCAAAGGAGACUGCCAGUGAUAAACUGGAGGAAGGUGGGGAUGACGUCAAGUCAUCAUGGCCCUUACGAGUAGGGCUACACACGUGCUACAAUGGCGCAUACAAAGAGAAGCGACCUCGCGAGAGCAAGCGGACCUCAUAAAGUGCGUCGUAGUCCGGAUUGGAGUCUGCAACUCGACUCCAUGAAGUCGGAAUCGCUAGUAAUCGUAGAUCAGAAUGCUACGGUGAAUACGUUCCCGGGCCUUGUACACACCGCCCGUCACACCAUGGGAGUGGGUUGCAAAAGAAGUAGGUAGCUUAACCUUCGGGAGGGCGCUUACCACUUUGUGAUUCAUGACUGGGGUGAAGUCGUAACAAGGUAGGCGUAGCGAG